Molecule: long non-coding RNA, 645 nt
Filed under: Homo sapiens (human)
Lineage: Eukaryota; Metazoa; Chordata; Mammalia; Primates; Hominidae
Description: HSALNT0331916
Source: RNAcentral
UUUCAAAGCAGAGAAAACCAGCCCAUUGAAAAUAUCCUGCCAAGUCAUUUGGGGAUUUGUGGCAGAAACUCCAGUCUUGCGUCUGGACAUGGACCAUUUCUGGGGAAAACUGAGAGCUUUGCUAAAAGGAAGAGGGGAAAGCGGGGGCGCGCGUAUCCAGUGGUAUUUUCCCAUCUGGUACUUUGUAGAAGCCUUGCUCCCAGUAUGUACCUAAUUAAGGCUCCACAGACCUACGAGGCCCCAAGAGAGAGUGGUUACAUCAGUGCAGUCCUCAGCAGAACUGAGGAAAGAGCUUCAUCGUCCAAAACUGAGGAAAUGCCCAGAUUAACACAGGUGUUUUUGGUGGGGAGAAGGGGGUAGAAUAUUCUGGCAGCCGGAAGACAUAUCCCCAGCUUCUUUCUUCCAGGCAAAAGGGUUGCUGUGUCUCCUGAAUACCUUCUUCUUCCCCCUCGCCAUGGUGGGUGUGACAAGAUCAGCUGGCUUCCAGAAGGCAAGGUGUUCAGUAAUGUUCACAGAGAGAAGAUUAGCUCCAAGUUUUUUAAGGAAAGCAUUCUAAAGAAAGUGUUCUGUUCACAACAAAUGAGGUGGGAGGGGUCUGACGACCAGAAAGGGACUUCAAGUUACACCUUUCCUGGCACCAGAAAG